UUCUGUUGAGAUUUAAUCUCAACCGUUAGAAUAUAAAUCAAACAUUGAGUACACACUCUGUCUCUGUCACUCGACACUCAGUCACUCUCUCUCGCGGCUCGCCUCAGACUGAAACCCUCACCUCACCAGAAAACGUCUCGCCGAUUUGUCUUUCCGUUUGAAUCCGCCCACACAAGUGACUCACCUGAGACACAUCUCUCUCGGCUAUCACCUCUCUGAUCUCUCUCUCAGUCUCUCUCGACUUCUCAUCCCUCACAGUGGAGGAGCCUUCCUUCACGAAUCACGGCCAUUGGCGCCGCUCUCCUUCUCAGUCUCUCAGUCUCUCUCGAUUCCACUCAUCCAGUGCACUGUGCACCGAUUCUCCCCCAAAUCUGAUACGAUCCAAAUCUCUAGGCCCUUAAUCAACCUGCAAGUAACACAGAGAAGAGAGAUGGAGAGGGAAGGAAGAGAGAGAGCAGAGCUCUUGAAUAUUUUUUUGUUUAUAUUUCUGUUUGUGUAAAUUCUGAUCUGUUUUCAAACCAAAGAGCAGGUGCUCUUAUACACGAAGUGUGACUCCUGCCAGCUGGCAUUUCUAACAAAUUAUCCUAAUAACCAGUAACCCUCAAUUACAACUAUUUUGACUCUUUAAUUAAAGCAUAAGCCUCAAUCACAAAUUGGGUUCAUAACAAUAUUUCCCCCUUGAAAAUUAGCCUUGUCCUCAAGGCUUAAAAAAUAACUGUGGAAACUUGUUUGAAACGAGCAGCAACUAGCAGGGUGGCGGCAGUAGCAAAAUUUUCCUUCAACGCAAUUUCAGCUUUGGUGUUGAAGAUGCUUGUCCUGCUGGCGACAAUAAAGACAAAGUGAAACUGUCCUUGGAACUGGCCAUUAUAUGAACCCUCCUUAGUAAUCUGUUUCCAAGCAUUUUGGUGACUUGGGACAUGCCACUGAUAUUCAGACCUCGAAAUAUCACAGGGAAGAGGAUCCACCUGAAUAUGAGCCCAUGAUGAGUAUCUGUUGAUCACCUUUGCAAGAUACUUAAGAACAUUCUCACGGGCGUCGGCAUUUUUUAGUAGCAAGAGAAUAACUGCAGUAAGGUCAUCAUAUAAGUUGUUCAUGAUUGUCUCAAUUGUGGCAAUUGAAGAUUGCAGAUCAGCUGAUCUACAAGUUGAAGCCUCCUCAAUACCAUCCACCAUCGCAAGUGCACCAUCAGUAAUACGAAGAGCAGAUGUGACCCCCCCAGAUGAAAAAUCAAUGUGCUUGGAUGAAUCAAUGUGAUUGAUAAGGUACUCAUUUUCAUUACUCUUUCCCUUGUAACUCAUCAGAGAUUCAUCAGUCAUCUCAUAGUACAAAGAGUUAUCAUGGAAAAGACCAAGUAUACUAGUUAACUUCAUGCGUGAAAAUACCUUCUCUUCCAUUAACACACUGUAUUCAAAGGUGCCUCAUGAUUUGUACUAAGUACCUUAUUGAGCAUCUCACAUGUGGUACAAAGGUGAAGGCAAGCCGUUGCAUUUUGGAAGACAUCAAUCUUGUACUUUUCUUUGAAUUUUCCUGCAAAGCGGUGGAACCAUGCUUCAUCAAAGCCCCUACCUCUGAAAUUGAAGGAAUCCACAUAAGCAUGCACAACUUUUGGAGGAAAUUCUUCAAACAACCACAAGUACUGCCUCACUGCAUUGACGGUACCACACUGCUGCGCAGUUUCAGCCACAAAUUGUAGCGCCUCUUUUUUCCUAGAUUUCCCACACUCCUUGGAAUGUAUUCCAUGAAAUAAGAAAAGUAAGAUUGAAGAUGUUGUUGUUCCAUUCUCCUGAAAAAGAAGCUUGACCUCAAUCUCUAAAUUUGGGGAACUUGUGAGAUUGUUGGUAACCAUGAAAAUGACUUUCUUGAAGUAAGAGGUCUGUGCAAUCAGUGAUUUCCUUGGAUUAAGUGGCAAGGCAUCAGAUAAGUAGGUGUCAUCAGAAAAAUGUUGAUCCACCUCUGCCAAAUAUAACAUCUCUUCGACCAUGAAACAAUGAUCUUCAAACAAAAUGGCCCAAGUCCUGAUAUCAAACACAUUUUCAUUUGUAGUUCCCUCUCUUAUAACAAUACCCACACUAGCCUUUCCUACACUCAAUAGCUCCAAGAGGAAUUGUAAUACUAUAGUAUCUAGUGCAGCAUCACAGAAUAAUAUGGCAAUUUCCCAUGCAUUAUCAUGCUCAAUAACCAAGGGUAGGCAAAGAACAAUAGGAAGCAAUUUAUGGAAAUUGCAAGGGAAUAACUCUGCCUUGAUUUUGAGAAGAUCAUUUAUGUGUUUACAGCUGAGAAUUGCAAGCAUGUCCUGUUCUUGUCCGACAUGUCCACCUUUAAGCCCUUUCAAGUUGGCAGAUUCUUCCAAGAGCCUGAUAAUGGAUGUAACAAACCCGAAAGCCUUUCUCUUCCCCUUUUCUUCUACUACCGUGAAAGAGAGAAUGCAGGGCUUCUCCAUCAACCAUUUUUUAUUAUUCCUCUUAUUGAAGAAAACUCUUUGAUAAGAUAUAUUGUCACAAGGAUCAUUGAGCUUGUGACACCAACCCGGUUGCUGGAAAAUCUGGUCAUGCUCCACGCAAUUAGGAAAAGAAACAGCAUCAAGGUGUACAUCAACCCUAUUACAAAAUUCCUUAUUCAAUUUCAAUAAUAAGCUGGUGAAAAUAGAAUAGUGAAGCUGGGAAAUGGCCAUGACUGUCAACGCACAGAUGUGUAACAAUGAUAAGCAGAGGAACUGCUUGAUAACAUGGAUAUGACCCAAGGUCCCAUUCUCCUUAGUGAAACUAGCGACAAGAUCUUUAGGCCAAGACCGAUAUACAAGUACAACAAUAUCCAAAGCUUCCAAGUUGCUACUGAAUGACAUAUUCUCCAUAUUAUGCCUCUCAAACAUUUCAUCAAACAGAUGCAAUGCAUAGAAAUUCUUCAUCACAAAUUUACCCACAAGGUACCAAUUACCCCAUCCACAUUUAGCAGUUAAGAAGUCUUCAUACAUUAUCACAAUAACACCAGUAUAAUAUGCCAGAAUAAGCUGCAAAACCCAAUACCAUUUGUCCUUCCGAUUUGUAAAAUUGGAAAGCAAGGAUGUCAAUACCUCGUGUCGACGCUUUGUGGUGUUUGUAUGCGUUAAGGGCAGCAUAUAAAGACAUAUAGUCUGUGGGUUGAAGCUCCAGUAAUCUCCAUACUCCUCAAGGUUGAUGGAGUCACUGACGUUUUGGUCUGCAAGUAGAAAAGGGACUGCAAUUUUGGUGGUUCCUGUGUUCCUCAGAGGAGACACAAAACCUUGCACACUGGUGUGAAUUGUCGAUGCCAACGUAUCGUUCGAGUUCAACUGUGGCUUGACGGACGGAGCUGCGAUUUCUCGCAACAAUGGUGAUGACGAAAACAACGGCGGAACGGAAUGGACUUCGAUUGGAGAUGGAAGUCUCGGCGGAGUAUCGUCUCCUAGAAGUCCGGGAUGACCGAGAGCGAUUGAUUGCGUGUCAUCGGAAGUAGUCGGGACUGCAUCAGAAACUCCCUCCGCUCUGAGAGCCGAGUCGCGGCAGAGCAAGGCCCAAUCACGGCUGAAAUUCGUCGUGAAAUUUGUGAAUGCAGAAUCCAAAGCUUCGCGGAGUGCAUCACGGAGCGCAGCACGCAGCGAAGCUUCAAAGGAGUCGAUUGCAGCGGAGAGGCGUGCAUCCAUUGCAGGAAGACGGUUCGGGUGGGCGUCCACAGGAGGGAAACCAGGAUUCGAGAAGGAUGAUACCAUUGAUACGAUCCAAAUCUCUAGGCCCUUAAUCAACCUGCAAGUAACACAGAGAAGAGAGAUGGAGAGGGAAGGAAGAGAGAGAGCAGAGCUCUUGAAUAUUUUUUUGUUUAUAUUUCUGUUUGUGUAAAUUCUGAUCUGUUUUCAAACCAAAGAGCAGGUGCUCUUAUACACGAAGUGUGACUCCUGCCAGCUGGCAUUUCUAACAAAUUAUCCUAAUAACCAGUAACCCUCAAUUACAACUAUUUUGACUCUUUAAUUAAAGCAUAAGCCUCAAUCACAAAUUGGGUUCAUAACAAAAUCAGGUAAAUUUUGGAAUUCGAGAAUAGGGUUUGUGAAAUUUAGCACUUGGAAGAUAGAGUAUAUUGCAUACUGAGGGUUUAGGGGUUGAAUUGGUGGUUGGAAUUCAAGAUUAGGGUUUCUCUUCUGUCACAGACUCACAAUUGAAGCAUAAAUUUGUUACGGGUUGAUUAUUCAUAGUUCAUAGUUGUAGCAAAAUUGCAGCUACUGAAAUGAAUUUUGAGAGUUGGUGUCAAUUGAUGAAUGGAGUUCAAAAUUAAUCGUGGGGUUUUGGGAUGUUUGUAAUGCCGCACCAUAAAUGUAUUUACACUUUGUUUAGUGGUUCAUUUAGAUGUGUUUUUGAGUACUAAUUACUAUAUGAGUGCUGAACCACAACCACUAGCGUAAUUACCUGUUCAUGGUAUGCAAAUCUUGUUAGAAACUUGGAAGACUAAUGCCAAAACUUGUGAUCAUGUUAAACCGUGUUCAUAUAAUUAAUAUAUAUGAAGAUGUUGAACUGAUGAACUGUUAAAUACCCACAUAAUUGCACAUCAUUAGAUCUUCAAUUGCAAUGCUAGAUCAUAUAUCUUUCCUAAGUUGUUUUGUUGUUAUUUUUGACCAUGCAGAAUUGGGAGUCUGGUAGAAAACGUCUCUGCCUCAUCAAAUUCAACACUUCACUUCUUUUAAGUGCUUUACGUCUCGACUAUUUGAGGAAGUGGUGGCUUUACCAGAGUGGUUGGGGAGCAUUACACUCCCUAUAUAAACAGUACAGUAUAAAAAUACAUUCAUAGGAUGUUGUUAUUGCAUUUUGUUUACUCUAUAGUAUCUAUUUGUAACAUUAGAAUGUUUUUGUGAUAAUAGUAGUUCUUAUUUUGCUUAAAAAGUAUUUGUUUCUUACUGAAAAUAUAUACACUGGUUGCAACAGUUGCUUUGAUAUUUGAAGUACAAAGAAGUGCUUGGUCAGAAGCGAGAAAGGAGGAAGCACGAUUGUGGCAAUACAGUCAAUGUGUCAAUAUGCAUUUGCAUUUGUAUGCUAAUGGAGUUGAAAGAAAAUGGUAACUCUUUAUUCUGGUAUUGAACUAUCUGAGCAAACUGCCAUCUUUGUUUCAUUUUCAUUAGUGUGGUGAAAGAAAAACAUCUUAAAUUUGUGAGCAAACUUCUGCAUGCUAGUAUUUGUAAGUACGUAUUUGCUCUAUUCUGCCUUCUUGAAGUUCAUGUUGCCACUAAAAAUCACAAACGAAAAAAAGGGUCUUUUUUUUCCUUCACGAAACAAGUCUUUUUUAUUUUUUUAUCCCUUAAUUUAUUUUAAUUUGUCUUAUGCUCCUAAGAUGCUGGUUCGGCCACCAGCCCUCUUUGCUCUCUAUGUAAGAUCUUGUGGCCCACUCACCUCCUGACCCUAGUAUUUAACCCAAAAUUCCCGUCCUUUUUAUUUUUUCAGUAUUUUUGGCCCAAUUGUUUUUUAUUGUUUUCACUAAAAAAAAACCUGUUAAAAUCCUUCCCCCUCUUUCCCUCCUCUUAAUUCCCUCCUACCAAAUUGAUAGCCGUUCACAUCUCUAUUCGGGGAUGUAGACUGUCAUUCAAUUCCAUUUUCUGAUUCUCUGAGCAGGUAUUUUCUCCUCUUUUAACUCUUGUGUUUCAUAAAUGGCUUUUUCGAUCCGUUUAGCUUCUUGUAUUUGCUUACUGAUUCCGUUUGGCUUUCUUGUAUUUGCUUACUGAUUCUGUAAAAAUGUCUUUUUUAUUUCAGUGAUUUUCCUUCAGUCUUUCUCUUUUGUUUCUCACUAUGUUUUUUGUUUCG
RNAcentral lists this long non-coding RNA (5795 nucleotides) under Malus domestica (apple). Its description in RNAcentral is "long non-coding RNA (MDOM_LNC008844)". The record is from RNAcentral. Lineage: Eukaryota; Viridiplantae; Streptophyta; Magnoliopsida; Rosales; Rosaceae.